Oncorhynchus tshawytscha (Chinook salmon) is the source of this 543-nucleotide long non-coding RNA. Lineage: Eukaryota; Metazoa; Chordata; Actinopteri; Salmoniformes; Salmonidae. The record is from Ensembl.
CUUCAACUGUAUGUAAUGUAUGUCAUUCACUCGUUAAGGUCUGAAGAAGACAGGUUGAAAGAUUGAAAACGGCGGCAAAAACAAAGCACACUACAGGUAGGUGGAGUCAUAUGAUGAGUGGUAUAGUCUGAAACCAAUGUUUAAAGACCAAUAUGUUUUAGGAUGAUGUAGAUGACUCCCCCCUCCCCCCAAGAAGUCACAGCAGGUCACAUCAGCAUCCAGCUUUGCAAGAGCAGACCAUACUAAAAAUGAAAUGCACGGCGAACUGGGAGCUGUGAACUGGGAUGCAGAUUUUCUCCUAAGGGACACCCUAGUGGCAGCAAGGUGGUGUGAACGCCAAACAUUUAAAGGCACUGUUUCCCUCCCUAGUGCAAUUGGGAUGGACGGGGAAGACCGCAUUUACAACCCUUAAAUAACUACGGUUGUAUGAUGGCCUGGAUGAAUAGGAAAAUAUUCUCCUCAAGGAACUGACCGUCUUUGCCUCUUUUGAGGAGCAGGAGUGAAGCUAUUUUUGAGGAGUGGUCAAACCUUGUUUUUGUCUGC